AGUGAACGCUGGCGGUGGGCCUAACACAUGCAAGUCGAACGGCAGCACAGUAAGAGCUUGCUCUUACGGGUGGCGAGUGGCGGACGGGUGAGGAAUACAUCGGAAUCUACUUUUUCGUGGGGGAUAACGUAGGGAAACUUACGCUAAUACCGCAUACGACCUACGGGUGAAAGCAGGGGAUCUUCGGACCUUGCGCGAUUGAAUGAGCCGAUGUCGGAUUAGCUAGUUGGCGGGGUAAAGGCCCACCAAGGCGACGAUCCGUAGCUGGUCUGAGAGGAUGAUCGGCCACACUGGAACUGAGACACGGUCCAGACUCCUACGGGAGGCAGCAGGGGGGAAUAUUGGACAAUGGGCGCAAGCCUGAUCCAGCCAUACCGCGUGGGUGAAGAAGGCCUUCGGGUUGUAAAGCCCUUUUGUUGGGAAAGAAAAGCAGCAGGUUAAUACCCCGCUGUUCUGACGGUACCCAAAGAAUAAGCACCGGCUAACUUCGG
RNAcentral lists this ribosomal RNA (491 nucleotides) under uncultured bacterium. RNAcentral describes it as "partial 16S ribosomal RNA". It matches the Rfam family "Bacterial small subunit ribosomal RNA", at positions 29 to 506 of the family's 1533-position model. The record is from RNAcentral.